AUUGAGCUAAUUAAAUUUGGUUCGAUGAUUAAGGGCUCGAUUAAGUGAAGAGGUCCAAAGUUUUAAUGUUUAAUUAUUAUCACGGACCAAACAAGUGUCACUAACCAAGUAGGAAAGAAAGAAGAAAUGGCCCAAAACAAAAGAAGGCAUGAGGCCCAGUUCGUAGCAUUGCUAAUCAGGCCUGAUCUUGCGGUCCAAUGUCCAAUCAGGCGGUAGAAGUCCAAGCCAAAAGUUAAAGAGAAUAAUUGGUAUACACUAUACCCUAGUGUAGGUAGCCCAACCUACACUCCCUCUAAACGCAGCAUUUAGAGUUACUACCCACACCCCCUCCACUAACCCACAAUAAUUACCCACUCCCCACAAUAACCGCAGUAACUGCAUAAUAAAAAAAAAAAAAUCAAUUUCAAAUCAUUCUCUUACUCUAAACACCAUCUUCUUCAUUUCUCUAGAGUUUCUCUCUCAUCAAACCCAACGAAUCACAACAAAAUCAUACUCCAAAAUUGCUUCAAAUGUCUGAUAUUCGAGAAGAAAUUAAACAAUCACAACAAAAAGAGUAAGUAAUUUCGUUAGUUUUGUUCAUUUUUUGAGAUUGUAGUGCAAUUUUAUGUGUGAAACCUUAAUUUUGUUCAUUUUGUUGCGAUUGUAGUGCGAUUUUGCAAAAAACCACUACAGAGAAGAACAUGCAAGAAGAAACUGCAAAAUCGGAGCAAAAUGUAUCUAAAGAUAUGAUUUUGGAGAAGAAUACUUCAGAGACGAGUAAUUUGUUGAAAA
Chenopodium quinoa (quinoa) is the source of this 771-nucleotide long non-coding RNA. RefSeq lists it as uncharacterized. The transcript has 2 exons. The record is from RefSeq and is a predicted model, not a curated record. Lineage: Eukaryota; Viridiplantae; Streptophyta; Magnoliopsida; Caryophyllales; Amaranthaceae.